RNAcentral lists this ribosomal RNA (496 nucleotides) under uncultured bacterium. RNAcentral describes it as "partial 16S ribosomal RNA". It matches the Rfam family "Bacterial small subunit ribosomal RNA", at positions 28 to 506 of the family's 1533-position model. The record is from RNAcentral.
GAUGAACGCUGGCGGCGUGCCUAAUACAUGCAAGUCGAGCCAACAGACGAGGAGCUUGCUCCUCUGACGUUAGCGGCGGACGGGUGAGUAACACGUGGAUAACCUACCUAUAGGACUGGGAUAACUUCGGGAAACCGGAGCUAAUACCGGAUAAUAUAUUGAACCGCAUGGUUCAAUAGUGAAAGACGGUUUUGCUGUCACUUAUAGAUGGAUCCGCGCCGCAUUAGCUAGUUGGUAAGGUAACGGCUUACCAAGGCAACGAUGCGUAGCCGACCUGAGAGGGGGGUGGGCCACGCAGAACCGGCAACAAGUUCCCACCCCCUCCGGGAGGAGGGCGUGGGGAAAUUCCCGAAAGGGGGAAAACCAAAAGGGGUCAACCCCGUUUGAGGGAUGAGGGUUUUGGGAUUGUAAACCUUUUUUGUUGGGGAAAAAAAAAUGUGAAAAUAACAAUGCCCGUAUUGACGGUACCUAAUCAGAAAGCCCCGGCUAACUACGU